CGCAGCAAAAUGCGAUAAGUAAUGUGAAUUGCAGAAUUCAGUGAAUCAUCGAAUCUUUGAACGCACAUUGCGCCCGCCAGUAUUCUGGCGGGCAUGCCUGUUCGAGCGUCAUUUCAACCCUCAAGCUCAGCUUGGUGUUGGGACUCGCGGUAACCCGCGUUCCCCAAAUCGAUUGGCGGUCACGUCGAGCUUCCAUAGCGUAGUAAUCAUACACCUCGUUACUGGUAAUCGUCGCGGCCACGCCGUUAAACCCCAACUUCUGAAUGUUGACCUCGGAUCAGGUAGGAAUACCCGCUGAACUUAAGCAUAUCAAUAAGCGGAGGA
Molecule: ribosomal RNA, 324 nt
Filed under: Fusarium incarnatum
Lineage: Eukaryota; Fungi; Ascomycota; Sordariomycetes; Hypocreales; Nectriaceae
Description: eukaryotic LSU rRNA
Rfam family: 5.8S ribosomal RNA (bases 1-111)
Source: RNAcentral